ACCAACUCAUUCUUCGAGGCGCAGCUCCUAUCGUUGCCAUCGACAGAAAAGUACCCAACACUCAUUUAUCAUUUCUGAAACAUUCAUCAUCUCCUUGUGUCUUUUCGUAGUGGAAAUUGGAUCACGUGGGUGAAGGAAGGAAUGAGGUGGCUCAACUCAUUGCUACUAGUGUUACUAAGGAACAUCGAUUCCAAUUGUACGUAGCAACAUGAGGUCCAUGAUGGCUACAAUAGAUUAUCCUCAAGAGUUGAUCUCGAUCGAUCUUGUGACUUGAUUCGGCCACGAAGAUUUCUCAGGGACUUGUUGUACAUCAUCUCUGACCCGUAUAUCAUCUCUACUUACAGAGAGCUUUUAAAAAAUUGGAAAGUUUUCUAAAAAAACUUUUACAUAUUUCCUUAAUAGGAUUUAUAAAAAAAAAACAAAAUGUAUGCAAAUCUAUGAAGAUCAAUCACAAUCAAUAGAAAUCUAUGUAAACUAUUUGUUAAGUUUACUUAACUUUUAAAAGUCCAUCAACUUUUAAAAUCACUAAAUUCCAUACAAAUUCUUGUUUGAAUAAGCCCCCUAAAUUGAUGUUUACACAAACUUACUGGGUAUAACAUAAUAAUUAAAUAAUGGGAAAAUCUAAAGGUAUAUACAUGAUAGACCCGAAGUAAAAUUUUAAUAUUAUAAAAAGUUGUUAGAUCUGUCCAUUAUUAUUCAUUAGUAAUUUAUUGAACGUAAUCAAAGCCACAAACAUAAUUUAACUUUUUAGUUUAACAGUAUAUGAUAAUUUUUUGACCCAAAAAAGUAUAUGAUGAUUUGUUUCAGUGGUGUACAGUAAUAAGUUUAGUUAGUUUUUACUGAAUUUUAUUUUUUAUUUAUAAAUACGAUUAUUUAAAAUUUUGAACAAAUUUAAGACAAUAUUUUCGUUGAAGUACUUAAACGUUUUUAUCUGAAAAUUAUCAUAUGAAAUACACUCUAAGAAUGCUAAAAUUGGCUUAAAUCUAUCUAUAUAAAUAAAAAAAUGUUUACCUCUUUCAUGUGCUGCCACCUAGGAUCCAGGUCAGAAAGUCGAGGACCGUAGUGUCGACACGUGUCCCGGCCACACAAAACGCAGCACUUCAUUUAUUCUCAUAUCUGGUGGGCUUUUAACGCUAAGUUUAUAUAUAUUCAAUGUUUUUUGGGCUGAUAAUUCGUAUGGUUAAGUUUGACCGACGGCCCAUAAACAGAAACCCUAAUUCUAAUUUCGCGAGCAAAUGGACUUCGUCAUCUUCGUUUUACGGCGACUCGACAACGCCUAAGCUUCUUCUGAAUCUCUUUGAGACGGUGUGAGUUAUGAAGCGAUUUCUAGGAUUGCCACUAUUCUUAAGCAAUUGUCGUUUAAAACCGACAAAGAAGCUCCGGCUGGGUUACGGGGAUGAGUAUUUCCUGCCAAUCUAUGGUGGUAGCCGCUGUCUAUGUCGAAUCGCCUGGACCGUUACAAAACUCUACUGCAUUCAGUCAUCGUCAUUAACGAUCUCAUUAAUACAGAUUCCCCACUCCUCUCGUGAUGUUUGCCCUUCUCGCUUCCAUUGUGCAAAUCUACAACUAUAAAUAUGACACAUUUAUUUUAUAUUUUUAAAGUACAAAAGAGUUGCUUAUAUAUAGGUUGUUAAGAAAGAUGAAGAUGUGAAAGUUCUUGAAAUGGUGGGGGGUGAGGAUUGGUUGCCUCCACCGACAAAGGUUAUCUUCACUAAAAUUAUCUCACUAAUAUCAAAAAGUCCGCUGAAGAUUUCAGCCAUUACAUCAUUGAGGUAGUUUUGUAUGUAUAUGCUUCUCAUGUUUUCUUUUAGAAAGGAGGUUGGAUGACAUUAUGUUGCAGUUCUAGAAUAUUGAUGUCAUCUGAAUUAUUAGCAGUGUUCUUGGCCAGAGCAUAGCUUUGAAUUACUAAUUUACUAUGGCCGGCAGGUAGCAAUCACAUAUCAGUUUGUUUCUGUUAGGUUGAUGGUAUGGUAGCAAUUAUCAAAGUUAACUGAACAAACCAUGUGAUGGAGAAAACAGGAACGCUUACAACGGACAUGAAGAAGCUGUUCCAGUUGGAGAUUUUUCACUAAAGCAACUCCAAACGAAGAGUUUCUAAUUUGUUUUUAGUGUGUUUUAUCAUUUUCUUUUCCUAGGUGAAUUUGUAAGCAAGUGUUUCAUAUAUGACUUGCUGCAACCGUAAAAAAUGUGUUUUUACUUUUAUGCGUCAAUCUUUUAAUAAUACAAUAAAAGGGUCAUGUGCUAA
Brassica napus (rape) is the source of this 2245-nucleotide RNA transcript. RefSeq lists it as uncharacterized. The transcript has 2 exons. NCBI's taxonomy places the organism in Eukaryota, Viridiplantae, Streptophyta, Magnoliopsida, Brassicales, Brassicaceae. The record is from RefSeq and is a predicted model, not a curated record.